RNAcentral lists this ribosomal RNA (394 nucleotides) under Escherichia coli. Its description in RNAcentral is "partial 23S ribosomal RNA". It matches the Rfam family "Bacterial large subunit ribosomal RNA", at positions 125 to 559 of the family's 2925-position model. Lineage: Bacteria; Pseudomonadati; Pseudomonadota; Gammaproteobacteria; Enterobacterales; Enterobacteriaceae. The record is from RNAcentral.
AACCCAGUGUGUUUCGACACACUAUCAUUAACUGAAUCCAUAGGUUAAUGAGGCGAACCGGGGGAACUGAAACAUCUAAGUACCCCGAGGAAAAGAAAUCAACCGAGAUUCCCCCAGUAGCGGCGAGCGAACGGGGAGCAGCCCAGAGCCUGAAUCAGUGUGUGUGUUAGUGGAAGCGUCUGGAAAGGCGCGCGAUACAGGGUGACAGCCCCGUACACAAAAAUGCACAUGCUGUGAGCUCGAUGAGUAGGGCGGGACACGUGGUAUCCUGUCUGAAUAUGGGGGGACCAUCCUCCAAGGCUAAAUACUCCUGACUGACCGAUAGUGAACCAGUACCGUGAGGGAAAGGCGAAAAGAACCCCGGCGAGGGGAGUGAAAAAGAACCUGAAACCGU